GAUGAAGAACGUAGCGAAAUGCGAUACGUAGUGUGAAUUGCAGAAUUCCGUGAACCAUCGAAUCUUUGAACGCAAAUUGCGCUCGAGGCCUCGGCCGAGAGCAUGUCUGCCUCAGCGUCGGCUUAUUCCCUCGCCUCCCCUUUCUCUUUUUCGAGAGAGCAAAGCGGGAGCGGAACUGGUCGUGUCGGCUGCCCUGGAGCAGCCGGGUCGGCCGAAAUAAAGAGGCUUGAGCAUGGCCCCGCUAAACAGGGCGGCAGCUUGGUAGGUGGAGUUUGCCUCUGCAUACCGCUGCCGCGCUGGGGGCCGCUUGCUGGGAGCCGGCAGGAACUGGCGCCAGUUUCGGCUGCGCCUGCAACUCUCAAAAUUCGACCUGAGCUCAGGCAAGAGCACCCGCUGAACUUAAGCAUAUCAAUAAGCGGAGGA
RNAcentral lists this unclassified non-coding RNA (423 nucleotides) under soil metagenome. RNAcentral describes it as "partial contains 5.8S ribosomal RNA, internal transcribed spacer 2, and large subunit ribosomal RNA". The stretch from base 1 to 120 matches the Rfam family "5.8S ribosomal RNA", at positions 35 to 154 of the family's 154-position model. The record is from RNAcentral.